AUCCUGGCUCAGGAUGAACGCUGGCGGCGUGCUUAACACAUGCAAGUCGAACGGAGUUAUGAUGUGCGAGGAAAGAAGCUUGCUUUGGACUAAACUUUUCAUAACUUAGUGGCGGACGGGUGAGUAACGCGUGGGUAACCUGCCCUGUACAGGGGGAUAACAGUUGGAAACGACUGCUAACACCGCAUAACAUUAAGGGAGCGCAUGAUCCCUUGAUCAAACAUUUAUGGGUACAGGAUGGGCCCGCGUCUGAUUAGCCAGUUGGUGAGGUAACGGCUCACCAAAGCGACGAUCAGUAGCCGUACUGAGAGGUAGAACGGCCACAUUGGGACUGAGACACGGCCCAAACUCCUACGGGAGGCAGCAGUGGGGAAUAUUGGUCAAUGGGGGCAACCCUGAACCAGCGACGCCGCGUGAGUGAAGAAGUAUUUCGGUAUGUAAAGCUCUAUCAGCAGGGACGAUGAUGACGGUACCUGACUAAGAAGCCCGGCUAACUACGUGCC
This 503-nucleotide ribosomal RNA is filed under the name uncultured bacterium. Its description in RNAcentral is "bacterial SSU rRNA". It matches the Rfam family "Bacterial small subunit ribosomal RNA", at positions 16 to 509 of the family's 1533-position model. The record is from RNAcentral.